RNAcentral lists this ribosomal RNA (403 nucleotides) under uncultured bacterium. RNAcentral describes it as "partial 16S ribosomal RNA". It matches the Rfam family "Bacterial small subunit ribosomal RNA", at positions 30 to 526 of the family's 1533-position model. The record is from RNAcentral.
AUUGAACGCUGGCGGCAGGCCUAACACAUGCAAGUCGCGCGAGCGGCGGACGGGUGAGUAAUGUAUGGGGACUGCCCGAUAGAGGGGGAUAACUACUGGAAACGGUGGCUAAUACCGCAUACUGUCGGAUAACCCAUAUGGGAUUAGCUAGUAGGUAAGGUAAUGGGUUCACUAGGCGACGAUCCCUAGCUGGUCUGAGAGGAUGAUCAGCCACACCGGGACUGAGCCACGGCCCCGAUUCCUACGGAGGCAGGAGUUGGGUAUAUUGCACAAUGGGCGCAAGCCUGAUGCAGCCAUGCCGCGUGUAUGAAGAAGGUCCUAUGGUUGUAAAGUACUUUCAGGCGGUAGGCGUUACCGUCUGGAGAAGCCCCGGCUAUCUCCGUGCCAGCCGCCGCGGUAAUAC